UAUAAUUUAAUAUAUGAUGUAUAGAAAUUUUUGAUAUUUCAAGAAAUAGUUUAAUUCUAUUAAUUAUAA
Molecule: transfer RNA, 69 nt
Filed under: Aphodius foetens
Lineage: Eukaryota; Metazoa; Arthropoda; Insecta; Coleoptera; Scarabaeidae
Description: tRNA-Gln
Source: RNAcentral